Molecule: small nuclear RNA, 161 nt
Organism: Ochotona princeps (American pika)
Lineage: Eukaryota; Metazoa; Chordata; Mammalia; Lagomorpha; Ochotonidae
Gene: U1
Rfam family: U1 spliceosomal RNA
About the family: U1 is a small nuclear RNA (snRNA) component of the spliceosome (involved in pre-mRNA splicing). Its 5' end forms complementary base pairs with the 5' splice junction, thus defining the 5' donor site of an intron.
Source: Ensembl
AUACUUACCUGGCAGGGGAGAUGGCAUGAUCACCAGGUGGUUUUCCCAGGGCUAGGCCCACCCUUUGCACUCCGGGUGUGCUGACCCCUGCAAUUUCCCCAAAUGUGGGAAACUUGACUGCAUAAUUUGGUAGUGGGGGACUGCAAUCGUGCUCUCCCCUG